RNAcentral lists this non-coding RNA (108 nucleotides) under uncultured Brevundimonas sp. RNAcentral describes it as "Glycine riboswitch". It matches the Rfam family "Glycine riboswitch aptamer", at positions 8 to 90 of the family's 94-position model. Rfam says of the family: This family represents the bacterial glycine riboswitch. Glycine riboswitches usually consist of two metabolite-binding aptamers domains with similar structures in tandem. The aptamers cooperatively bind glycine to regulate the expression of downstream genes. Lineage: Bacteria; Pseudomonadati; Pseudomonadota; Alphaproteobacteria; Caulobacterales; Caulobacteraceae. The record is from RNAcentral.
ACGCUGGAAAGUCGCUGACGGAUCGGAGGGUCCCGACGCGCGCCGACGGAGCAAGGCCGAGCCUUUUCGGGAACGGUCGGAAUCUCUCAGGCUUCGAGACAGCGGGGG